GUGUCAGCAGCCGCGGUAAUACGGAGGGUGCGAGCGUUGUCCGGAAUCACUGGGCGUAAAGGGCGCGUAGGUGGCGCGGCAAGUCAACGGUGAAAGCUCGACGCUCAACGUCGAGUCGGCCGUCGAUACUGCCGCGCUGGAGCACUGUAGAGGCUCAUGGAAUUCCGGGUGUAGCGGUGGAAUGCGUAGAGAUCCGGAAGAACACCGGUGGCGAAGGCGGUGAGCUGGGCAGUUGCUGACACUGAGGCGCGACAGCGUGGGGAGCAAACAGGAUUAGAUACCCUAGUAGUCC
This 292-nucleotide ribosomal RNA is filed under the name uncultured bacterium. RNAcentral describes it as "partial 16S ribosomal RNA". It matches the Rfam family "Bacterial small subunit ribosomal RNA", at positions 505 to 796 of the family's 1533-position model. The record is from RNAcentral.